Molecule: ribosomal RNA, 546 nt
Filed under: Cladosporium pseudocladosporioides
Lineage: Eukaryota; Fungi; Ascomycota; Dothideomycetes; Cladosporiales; Cladosporiaceae
Description: partial large subunit ribosomal RNA
Rfam family: Eukaryotic large subunit ribosomal RNA
Source: RNAcentral
GGCGAGUGAAGCAGCAAUAGCUCAAAUUUGAAAUCUGGCGUCUUCGACGUCCGAGUUGUAAUUUGUAGAGGAUGCUUCUGAGUAACCACCGACCUAAGUUCCUUGGAACAGGACGUCAUAGAGGGUGAGAAUCCCGUAUGCGGUCGGAAAGGUGCUCUAUACGUAGCUCCUUCGACGAGUCGAGUUGUUUGGGAAUGCAGCUCUAAAUGGGAGGUAAAUUUCUUCUAAAGCUAAAUAUUGGCCAGAGACCGAUAGCGCACAAGUAGAGUGAUCGAAAGAUGAAAAGCACUUUGGAAAGAGAGUUAAAAAGCACGUGAAAUUGUUAAAAGGGAAGGGAUUGCAACCAGACUUGCUCGCGGUGUUCCGCCGGUCUUCUGACCGGUCUACUCGCCGCGUUGCAGGCCAGCAUCGUCUGGUGCCGCUGGAUAAGACUUGAGGAAUGUAGCUCCCUCGGGAGUGUUAUAGCCUCUUGUGAUGCAGCGAGCGCCGGGCGAGGUCCGCGCUUCGGCUAGGAUGCUGGCGUAAUGGUCGUAAUCCGCCCGUCUU